GCCAAUUCUUGUGCUUCCUCCUGCACAAGUUGAAGUCCUUUACUGUGAGCUGUCAGCAGCUGAGAAGGACUUCUAUGAGGCUCUUUUAAGAGAUCUAAGGUAAAGUUUGAUAUGUUUGUGGAGCAAGGGCGGGUUCUUCACAAUUAUGCUUCAAUUUUGGAGUUGCUUUUACGCCUUCGGCAGUGUUGCGACCAUCCCUUCCUUGUCAUGAGUCGAGGUGAUACACAAGAGUUCUCAGACCUCAACAAACUUGCAAAACAUUUUCUGAAAGGUGGUAAAGAUGCUGGUAAUGGAGAUACCUGUGCUGUCCCUUCUAAGGCAUACAUUAAAGAGGUUGUGGAAGAGCUGCGUAAAGGAGAGGAAGGAGAGUGUCCAAUUUGUUUAGAAGCUUAUGAAGAUGCAGUAUUGACACCGUGUGCACACUGUUUAUGCCGAGAGUGCCUCUUCGCUAGCUGGCGAAGUGCCUUGAGUGGUCUUUGUCCUGUUUGUAGGAAAAUUAUAAAUAAGCAGGAUCUUAUUACUGCUCCGACCGACCGUCGUUUUCGAAUUGAUGUUGAGAAGAACUGGGUUGAAUCUUCAAAGGUUUCUGUUCUCCUUCAGGAAUUAGACAAACUUCGCCCUUUAGGUGCCAAAAGUAUCAUAUUUUAGCCAAUGGACUGGUUUUCUGGAUCUUCUGGAAAUACCGCUUUCUCGACACAAUUUCUUGUUUGUUAGAUUGGAUGGGACCUUAAAUCAACAGCGAAGGGAAAAAGUACUCAACAAGUUUGCUGAGAAUACAAAUAUAUUGGUACUUCUAAUGUCACUGAAGGCUGGUGGUGUUGGAAUAAACCUUACGGCAGCAACUAAUGCCUUUCUUAUGGAUCCCUGGUGGAACCCAGCUGUUGAAGAACAGGCUGUGAUAAGAUUAGCAUGUGCCAUGCAUCAUGGAAUUAUUAUGUUGUGAUCAUUUGUAUUUGCAUUAUCAUGGCCUGUUGUUAUU
Molecule: long non-coding RNA, 979 nt
Organism: Musa acuminata AAA Group (dessert banana)
Lineage: Eukaryota; Viridiplantae; Streptophyta; Magnoliopsida; Zingiberales; Musaceae
Exons: 7
Source: RefSeq, a predicted model, not a curated record